Molecule: ribosomal RNA, 455 nt
Filed under: uncultured bacterium
Lineage: Bacteria
Description: SSU rRNA
Rfam family: Bacterial small subunit ribosomal RNA
Source: RNAcentral
AGAACGAACGCUGGCGGCAGGCCUAACACAUGCAAGUCGAACGCCCCGCAAGGGGAGUGGCAGACGGGUGAGUAACGCGUGGGAACAUACCCUUCGGUUCGGAAUAGCUCAGGGAAACUUGGAUUAAUACCGGAUACGUCCGAGGUUUAACGAUUUCGGAGAAAGAUUUAUCGCCGGAGGAUUGGCCCGCGUCCGAUUAGCUAGUUGGUGAGGUAAAAGCUCACCAAGGCGACGAUCGGUAGCUGGUCUGAGAGGAUGAUCAGCCACACUGGGACUGAGACACGGCCCAGACUCCUACGGGAGGCAGCAGUGGGGGAUAUUGGACAAUGGGCGCAAGCCUGAUCCAGCCAUGCCGCGUGAGUGAUGAAGGCCCUAGGGUUGUAAAGCUCUUUCGUCAGGGACGAUAAUGACGGUACCUGAAGAAGAAGCCCAGCUAACUUCGUGCCAGCAGCCGC